UCGAUUUACCUUCGGGUAUUGAGGAUGGCGGACGGGUGAGUAACGCGUAAGGAACUUGCCUCUUGGUCUGGGACAACUGUUGGAAACGACAGCUAAUACCGGAUAUUAUGAGAUUCUCGCAUGGGAAACUUAUGAAAGCUAUAUGCGCCAAGAGAGAGCCUUGCGUUCCAUUAGCUAGUUGGUGGGGUAACGGCCCACCAAGGCGACGAUGGAUAGCCGGCCUGAGAGGGUGAACGGCCACAAGGGGACUGAGACACGGCCCUUACUCCUACGGGAGGCAGCAGUGGGGAAUAUUGGACAAUGGACCAAAAGUCUGAUCCAGCAAUUCUGUGUGCACGAUGAAGGUCUUCGGAUUGUAAAGUGCUUUCAGUUGGGAAGAAGCAAGUGACGGUACCAACAGAAGAAGCGACGGCUAAAUACGUGCCAGCAGCCGCGGUAAUACGUAUGUCGCAAGCGUUAUCCGGAUUUAUUGGGCGUAAAGCGCGUCUAGGCGGAAAAAUAAGUCUGAUGUUAAAAUGCGGGGCUCAACUCCGUAUUGCGUUGGAAACUGUUUUUCUAGAGUACUGGAGAGGUGGGCGGAACUACAAGUGUAGAGGUGAAAUUCGUAGAUAUUUGUAGGAAUGCCGAUGGAGAAGUCAGCUCACUGGACAGAUACUGACGCUAAAGCGCGA
Molecule: ribosomal RNA, 671 nt
Filed under: uncultured bacterium
Lineage: Bacteria
Description: bacterial SSU rRNA
Rfam family: Bacterial small subunit ribosomal RNA
Source: RNAcentral